AUGGGGGUGGAAAUCCUGAGCUCCAUGGUGGAGGACUCAUCCCAGUACUCUUCCGGCGCGUCCACGGCCACGACGGAGUCAGGCACCACGGGAAGAGCACCGACGGCUCUGAGCCUACCAGUCGCCAUCGCCGACGAGUCCGUGACCUCGGCGCAGUCGGCGCCGUCGCGGUUCAAGGGCGUGGUGCCUCAGCCCAACGGGCGGUGGGGUUCCCAGAUCUACGAGCGCCACGCUCGCGUCUGGCUCGGCACGUUCCCGGACCAGGACUUGGCGGCACGCGCCUACGACGUAGCCGCGCUCAGGUACCGCGGCCGCGAUGCCGCCACCAACUUCCCGUGCGCGGCCGCGGAGGCGGAGCUCGCCUUCCUGGGGGCGCACUCCAAGGCCGAGAUCGUCGACAUGCUCCGGAAGCACACCUACGCCGACGAGCUCCGCCAGGGUCUGCGACGCGGCCGCGGCAUGGGGGCGCGCGCGCAGCCGACGCCAUCGUGGGCGCGGGAGCCCCUCUUCGAGAAGGCCGUGACCCCAAGCGAUGUCGGCAAGCUCAAUCGCCUCGUGGUGCCGAAGCAACACGCCGAGAAGCACUUCCCUCUGAAGCGCACCCCGGAGAGGACGACCACCACCGGCAACGGCGUGCUGCUCAACUUUGAGGACGGUGAGGGGAAGGUGUGGAGGUUCCGGUACUCGUAUUGGAACAGCAGCCAGAGCUACGUGCUCACAAAGGGCUGGAGUCGCUUCGUCCGGGAGAAGGGCCUCGCUGCCGGCGACUCCAUCAUCUUCUCGUGCUCGGCGUACGGCCAGGAGAAGCAGCUCUUCAUCGACUGCAAGAAGAAUACGACCGUCAACAGCGGCAAAUCGGCGUCGCCGCUGCCAGUGGUGGAGACUGCCAAAGGAGAACAAGUCCGCGUCGUUAGGCUGUUCGGUGUCGACAUCGCCGGAGUGAAGAGGGGGCGAGCGGCGACGGCGGAGCAAGGCCCGCCGGAGUUGCUCAAGAGGCAAUGCGUUCCACUUCCACACGGUCAGCGCUCUCCUGCCCUAGGUGCUUUCGUCUUAUAG
Molecule: ribosomal RNA, 1056 nt
Filed under: Triticum aestivum (bread wheat)
Lineage: Eukaryota; Viridiplantae; Streptophyta; Magnoliopsida; Poales; Poaceae
Description: partial small subunit ribosomal RNA
Source: RNAcentral